AACGCACCUUGCACUCCCUGGUAUUCCGGGGAGUAUGUCUGUUUGAGUGUCAUGAACUCUUCAACCUGUCAGUUCUUAGAAUUGUAUAGUGUUUGGAUUUUGAACGCUUGCUGGCUUUCAGUAGUCGAGCUCGUUUGUAAUACAUGAGCAUCUCUAAUUUAAGAUUUGGAUUGACUCAGUGUAAUAGACUAUUCACUGAGGACACCAGUUACUGGUGGCCAUCUCUUCAACUUGGGAAGCUUCAAAUUUUGUAGUCAACUUCUAAAUUUAGACCUCAGAUCAGAUAGGAUUACCCGCUGAACUUAA
RNAcentral lists this ribosomal RNA (306 nucleotides) under uncultured fungus. RNAcentral describes it as "eukaryotic LSU rRNA". The stretch from base 1 to 52 matches the Rfam family "5.8S ribosomal RNA", at positions 103 to 154 of the family's 154-position model. Lineage: Eukaryota; Fungi. The record is from RNAcentral.